ACUGACACUGAGGUGCGAAAGCGUGGGGAGCAAACAGGAUUANAUNCCUGGUAGUCNACGCCGUAAACGAUGUCAACUAGCCGUUGGNGCNUUGAGCUUUNAGUGGCGCAGCUAACGCAUUAAGUUGACCGCCUGGGGAGUACGGCCGCAAGAG
This 154-nucleotide ribosomal RNA is filed under the name uncultured bacterium. Its description in RNAcentral is "partial 16S small subunit ribosomal RNA". It matches the Rfam family "Bacterial small subunit ribosomal RNA", at positions 739 to 894 of the family's 1533-position model. The record is from RNAcentral.